AGUGAACGCUGGCGGCGUGCUUAACACAUGCAAGUCGAACGAGAACGGGCUAUAGCUUGCUAUAGUUGUCAGCUAAGUGGCGCACGGGUGAGUAAUGUAUAGGUAAUAUGCCUCUUACUAAGGGAUAUCAAAUGGAAACGUUUGCUAAUACCUUAUACUCCUUAUUAACAGAAGUUAAUAAGGGAAAGAUUUAUUGGUAAGAGAUUAGCCUGUAUUGUAUCAGUUAGUUGGUGGGGUAAUGGCUUACCAAGACUAUGACACAUAACUGGUUUGAGAGGAUGAUAAGUCACACUGGAACUGAGACACGGUCCAGACUCCUACGGGAGGCAGCAGUGGGGAAUAUUGCACAAUGGACGAAAGUCUGAUGCAGCAACGCCGCGUGGAGGAUGACACAUUUCGGUGCGUAAACUCCUUUUAUAUGAGAAGAUAAUGACGGUAUUAUAUGAAUAAGCACCGGCUAACUCCGUGCCAGCCGCCACCGUAA
This 484-nucleotide ribosomal RNA is filed under the name uncultured bacterium. RNAcentral describes it as "partial 16S ribosomal RNA". It matches the Rfam family "Bacterial small subunit ribosomal RNA", at positions 29 to 523 of the family's 1533-position model. The record is from RNAcentral.